Sinocyclocheilus anshuiensis is the source of this 82-nucleotide long non-coding RNA. RefSeq lists it as uncharacterized. The record is from RefSeq and is a predicted model, not a curated record. The transcript is spliced from 3 exons. NCBI's taxonomy places the organism in Eukaryota, Metazoa, Chordata, Actinopteri, Cypriniformes, Cyprinidae.
GGCCGGUAACUUAAAAAUUUUGUAGCCAAAUUGGCUGGUGAGUGAAAAAGAUAAUUUCAAUCCCUGGUUGAGAUGUAAACUU